CCUACGGGUGGCAGCAGUGAGGAAUAUUGGUCAAUGGCCGGAAGGCUGAACCAGCCAUGCCGCGUGAAGGUCAGUGCCCUAUGGGCGUUAAACUUCUUUUGUGCGGGAGCAAUAAUGGUCACGUGUGGCCAGACGAGAGUACCGUACGAAUAAGCAUCGGCUAACUCCGUGCCAGCAGCCGCGGUAAUACGGGGGAUGCAAGCGUUAUCCGGAUUUAGUGGGUGUAAAGGGAGCGCAGGCGGCACGGCAAGCCUGAUGUGAAAGCCCGCGGCGCAACGGCGGGACUGCAUUGGGAACUGCCGGGCUGGAGUGCGGGAGAGGAGGGCGGAAUUCCAGGUGUAGCGGUGAAAUGCGUAGAUAUUAGGAGGAACACCAGUGGCGAAGGCGGCCAACUGGACGGUGACUGACGCUGAGGCUCGAAAGCGUGGGGAGCAAACAGGAUUAGAUACCCCAGUAGUC
This 459-nucleotide ribosomal RNA is filed under the name uncultured bacterium. RNAcentral describes it as "partial 16S ribosomal RNA". It matches the Rfam family "Bacterial small subunit ribosomal RNA", at positions 338 to 795 of the family's 1533-position model. The record is from RNAcentral.